RNAcentral lists this ribosomal RNA (497 nucleotides) under uncultured bacterium. RNAcentral's name for it is "partial 16S ribosomal RNA". It matches the Rfam family "Bacterial small subunit ribosomal RNA", at positions 28 to 507 of the family's 1533-position model. The record is from RNAcentral.
GAUGAACGCUGGCGGCGUGCCUAAUACAUGCAAGUCGAGCGAACAGACGAGGAGCUUGCUCCUCUGACGUUAGCGGCGGACGGGUGUGUAACACGUGGAUACCCUACCUAUAAGACUGGGAUAACUUCGGGAAACCGGAGCUAAUACCGGAUAAUAUAUUGCACCGCAUGGUUCAAUAGUGAAAGUCGGUUUUGCUGUCACUUAUAGAUGGAUCCGCGCCGCAUUAGCUAGUGGGUAAGGUAACGGCUUAUCAAGGCAACGAGGCGUAGACGACCUGAGAGGGUGGUCGCCCACACGGGAACGGAGACACGGUCCAGACGCCUACGGGAGGGAGCAGUAGGGAAUCUUCCGCAAAGGGCGAAAGCUUGACGGAGCAACGCCGCGUGAGUGAUGAAGGUCUUCGGAGCGUAAAACUCUGUUAUUAGGGAAGAACAAAUGUGUAAGUAACUAUGCACGUCUUGACGGUACCUAAUCAGAAAGCCACGGCUAACUACGUG